AGGAGCCAGUUGUGCUCACUGGAGUCCCAAAGUGGGCUGUGAGCUUGCCUCCUCCUCCUCCCUUUUUUCCCUUCUUGGCUUAGUGCUUUUCAGGGGAUUCAUGAAGUGAGAAGUGUAUUUUGCACUCUCACCCUAUUUCAGUGUCCCGUGUAUAACACGACAAGUGGAAUCUUUGAGACCUCUAGCUCCUGCCCUUGGCUCUUGCAAGGCAGGUGAACAUAAAGAACUUGAAGUUACCUUUUAUUAUUUAAACUAGGGUUUAGUGUGGGUCAGUCAACCUUCUCCAGAGUGAAAAUGCUGCUGAUAUUCUCUCUCUUGCUGUAUGCAAAAGAGCUAAUAAAUCAUCUUCAUUCCCAGGGCUCACAUAGUAUUCUCUGAACACUUUGUACUACAAAGCUAGAAACAGCAGUGCUGACAAUUGUUCUUUUAUUAAGGAUCUCUGGAUUUUUGCUGGAUUUGACUGCAGAAUUUAGAAGGAAUAAACAGCAGGAGGUUUUGUCGCACAAGAGCAGGGAUAAGCCUAAAUUCAGUGCAAAAAAAUAAAGAUACAUACUUUUCAUCUCUGCAGUAGAUAGACUAUGUCUCUAGUGGCAAAGCAUGUGCAACUGUUUUCUAGAACUAUCCCCCAGAAUUUCACACAGUUUUGUAAAUUUUUUAUUUUCAAAUUCCUAUUGGUGAAAACACUCUCGUUGUUACAGCAUGCAUAAAUCAGGAGUUGUUUUUGUGAUUUCCCCAGUAUAUUUUAAAUAAAGAAAAAAACUAUCUCAGAGACAGUGUUGCAAGAGACAGGAGUUAUCUUACAAGCUUAUGGGUCUGUGCUCAGUUACAUCCAUGUGUUAAAGAAAGCCCUGGUAAUGUAUAAAAAUUGAGGGUGAUUUUUAGGUGAUCCAAAGUUCUCUGUAUGUAAGAGCCUAAAAAGAAAUUGCUGAAAAAAUCAUGUUUCUACUCAAAAAGGCUAUAUGAUCUCAAGCUAGUUUAAGGCACAAAUAAUGAAACUUUCAUUCAUAAUUAUUAGAUAUAGGCUUUCCUAGAGGAAUCAGUUCUCUAUCCUUAAGUGACAAUGCCAUAUCUUUCAUAUGUCAGAGCUGAAGGGAUUCCUCCUUGAAGCAUUCAGAGAUCAGACUUUCUUGGUGCAAGAUGGUUCAUCUGCCGUUUCUGCUUUUGUGCCUGUCAAGUCUAACACACUCAUGCAGGAAUAGAAAAAUAUGGGGACCUGCCUGCAUUUAUGGAGAAAGAUUUUUAUUUUUUUUUUUUAAAUGAGGGACCUGGUGGAGAUGUGGGUCAGCUGAUUAAAGCUAUUGACACCCUGUACAUUUUCCUGUCUCCACUGGCUGUUGUACUUCAAGAAUCUCUUUGAAGAGACUGUCCAUUUUGCCGUUUCUAGAGGGCAUAACGUCAGAUACCACUUCUGAAAUACACAGCUCUGGAAGGCAAGGUUUUUAGUUAAACCAACUAGUGUUGCUGAGAAAAAAUAGGCAAGUUCUCAGAAUCACAAUGUUCCAUUCAGGUUCUUCAGAUACUGUAGAUAGAUCUAGCAGGGAGGGCAGAUAUACAACAGGAGCAGAUAUGUUUAACUUCAUUCUUUUCAAGGAUCCAUUGUCUCACACUUUCUGUGAGAUUUCUCUAACAAGGAAAGUGAAAUUACUCUUACUUUGGAGAUGACAAAAUAUUAGUGUAAAAACUAAUCCUUGCUUCCUCUUGGUGCUGCUAAUUCUGUGGGAAGAGACACAGAAAAGGCUGGAGUUGUUUUAUAGUACACCACGUUGGUUAACUCUGUUCCUGCUAAACAUCAUGGAGGGAGAAUGUGCUGUACCAUGCACUGUUCCUGAGACGGAAACUCUAGAGACCAGGAGAUGGAGCUUCAUUGGCAGCUAAUUCAUACCUGCAGAGAUCCCUUGUCGCAGGUGGCGAGAGGUGUGAAAUCUAUAGCUGCCUUCAAAGUCAAGUGGGAUACUUGUUCCAGCCUCUGGUGUUGAAGUUGUGGCUCCAUGGCUUUUGCAGUGCUGAUGUCCAUGUCCACUUCCAUGCCUUUUCCAUGUCUUCUCUCCUGGGCUCCAGUCAGACCAGUUGCCAGCUUCUUCUGCAUUACACUGAUGCAAAUAUAGAGUAACUGCACAGAAGUUGAUGAACUUAUUCCAAAUACAUAUCCCUUGAGGUCUACGGAGCUGUUUUCCACUGACGUUCUUCUGAGCACCUUCUGAUCUUCUGCAUUUUGUACCUGUUUAUGGGAUAUGUGCACCUGCUGCUCCAGAUCCUCAUUUGAUGCCAUUUUGGUUUUCGUGGCUGACUACUACCAAGCAAUGUUGAAUUUUAAGUUGUCUGAUGGUGCUCUUCACUACCAAGAUCUUCCUACUGGGAGAAUGGUUUCUGUUUCUGCUCAUGUCUCAGCAAGAGGUACAAAAUGAAAUUAUCCAGAUAAACAGUGAAGUGCAACAGCCAGAAAAGGUUUCGUCAUCUCCUGCUUAUUUCUCAACUGAAAGAAUAAUCUAUGAAAUCAGUUGUUUGCUGCAGGAAUGAUUAUGCACCUUGGGAUGGUUAUGAUUUCAGAGAUUUCUGAAGAGCUACUGAAGGGCGGCUGGAACUGCUAUGGGGCUGGACAGAGAGCUGGGUAACAUUUAGCACAACAAAUGAAGUCACAAUGGAAAUGGAAAAAAUAAUAAUAAUAAAAAAAAACGUGGAAAAAAGCACUAAUUCUCAGAAAUUGACCACAAAACUGAAGAAGAAUCAUGGAAUGAUUCCAGCUUGACCUCAUCAUGCCUUGUUGUUAUGGAUUUGUCAGAUGAUCCCUGUCUCAGUAGCUUAACCAGAUGACCAUCACCAGCCUUGAGCUCCUGCUCUUGUUCAGGUGCCAUGGGACUGCACCCCUCUUGUUUGGUGAGGCCACGGCCCCAUGUCUGCUUGGUGUCACCUUGGGCUUCCGACUGUCCUUUGCUUAGGGAGCUGCUCUCUCCUGCACCUCUCUGGCAACAGACACAAGGCAAUUCUUCUAGUCAGGCAAGCAACUUGACUUUGCUUAUAAAAUAACCAACCCAAAAUGGUGAGGAACACUGCACUAAGCCAUAUUUGAAUGAUAUAUGUUUUACAGUUGACUGCUGUUAUGCAUCUUGAAUUUGUCUGCUAGCUUAUUUUGAGGCCAAAAGGGGAGAAGAAAGCCCGA
This is a long non-coding RNA of Columba livia (rock pigeon), 3157 nucleotides long. RefSeq lists it as uncharacterized. Lineage: Eukaryota; Metazoa; Chordata; Aves; Columbiformes; Columbidae. The record is from RefSeq and is a predicted model, not a curated record. The transcript is spliced from 8 exons.